UGCUCAGGACGAACGCUGGCGGCGUGCCUAAUACAUGCAAGUCGAGCGAACAGAUGAGGAGCUUGCUCCUCUGACGUUAGCGGCGGACGGGUGAGUAACACGUGGGCAACCUGCCCUUAAGACUGGGAUAACUCCGGGAAACCGGGGCUAAUACCGGAUAAUUGAAAGAACCUCCUGGUUCUUUUAUGAAAGGCGGCUUCGGCUGUCACUUAAGGAUGGGCCCGCGGCGCAUUAGCUAGUUGGUGAGGUAACGGCUCACCAAGGCAACGAUGCGUAGCCGACCUGAGAGGGUGAUCGGCCACACUGGGACUGAGACACGGCCCAGACUCCUACGGGAGGCAGCAGUAGGGAAUCUUCCGCAAUGGACGAAAGUCUGACGGAGCAACGCCGCGUGAGUGAAGAAGGUUUUCGGAUCGUAAAGCUCUGUUGUCAGGGAAGAACAAGUACCAUAGUAACUGAUGGUACCUUGACG
RNAcentral lists this ribosomal RNA (472 nucleotides) under Bacillus sp. VB91. RNAcentral describes it as "bacterial SSU rRNA". It matches the Rfam family "Bacterial small subunit ribosomal RNA", at positions 21 to 484 of the family's 1533-position model. The record is from RNAcentral. Lineage: Bacteria; Bacillati; Bacillota; Bacilli; Caryophanales; Bacillaceae.